Molecule: non-coding RNA, 287 nt
Organism: Carica papaya (papaya)
Lineage: Eukaryota; Viridiplantae; Streptophyta; Magnoliopsida; Brassicales; Caricaceae
Source: RefSeq, a predicted model, not a curated record
UUACAAAAUAUUGAAACCCAAAAAACAAAAAAAAAACCCUAUCACUAUUACCUGGAGCAGACUGAAGGUCUCGUCUCUUGAUUAAAAGUUUAAACUGCUUCUCCUCCAUCUUUGUCUAUGCUUCUUGACGUCCUCUUCUCUGGUAUCGAAGAUACAGGAUAACUAUAAAUACAACCGCAGCAAUAUUGGCAACCGGAAAAAGCCAGAACAAGGCUUCAACUGCAUCAAUUCAUGGCAUACGUAGCAGGCAUGUCAAUUGCUUCAAGGACCUUCUUCUGUUCCACCAC